GUAGAACGUAAAAAAGGACGCAAUUGGCUGCCGGAGGGGUCCUCUUUUUUUUUUUAAUUGCAAGAGGGCGGAGAAGCUGUGGGUGCCUCAGACGUCAGAGGAAAACAAGCCAAGACGAAUGGCCAAUACUUUUUGGCCCGAAGGUGUCCUUUAGUUACCGAGAAAGAGUCGUACAAACGUGAGGGGGCAAAAAACAACAACAACAACACACAACCCUUUUUAAGGAACUCAAAAUGAUCCCUCUGGAAAGGUUGUGGAGCUACUGAGAAUCUUGAUUCGGGUGUGCGUAUGUAAGUCGUGCCCACUUCCUCAAAAGCUACAAGAUUUGAAGACCUAGGCAUGUCAAAAAAACACAAAAGGAAAUCCAGUCAAAAGGAUGACACCUUGGAUAAAAAGAAACCAGAAUCAGCAGAAAUUGGGAAUAGACAUGCAAAAGAACAGCUGGAC
This 447-nucleotide long non-coding RNA is filed under the name Notechis scutatus (mainland tiger snake). Its description in RNAcentral is "lncRNA (ENSNSUG00000014667.1)". Lineage: Eukaryota; Metazoa; Chordata; Lepidosauria; Squamata; Elapidae. The record is from RNAcentral.